Long non-coding RNA from Monodelphis domestica (gray short-tailed opossum), 1370 nucleotides. The record is from Ensembl. Lineage: Eukaryota; Metazoa; Chordata; Mammalia; Didelphimorphia; Didelphidae.
GGCCAUCUCCUUGUCAUGCUGCUGACAACUCCAGCUGACUCCUCCAUCUGGAUUUGGAGUUUCAGCCCUGUGGCUCUGGGCUCUGAUUGGCGAGUACCAACAUCCCAUUUCUAGGCCAUUUCUAUUUCAUUCAAGCAGCAGUUCCAGGACUCUCCCAGAAUGUCUCAGCAGCAGCAGCAACAGUGUUGCCCCCCAAAGCAGCAGUGCUGCCCCCCACAGCAGCAGUGCUGCCCCCCACAGCAGCAGACCAAGCAGCCCUGCCAACCUCCUCCCAAGUGUGCCCCCAAGUGUGCACCCCCUCCCUGCCAGCAGAAGUGUCCACCUGCCCAGCAGUGCCAGAAAUCCAAGCAGAAGUGAGCUCACCCCUCACUCCUUCAGGAAAAACAGAGAGCUCCCCAUCCCCAAGACUCAAGGGCCCCUUCUCCCAGCCAGCCAGCCAGCCAGCCAGCCAGCCAGCCACUCACCUGGCCCAGGUCCCAGCUCGCCUGCUCUUCAAUGCUGUUGUGUUCCUGAAGGCAGCGUCGAGGUGGCGGCUUCCUUAAUCUCUACCUGCUAUUAGUGUGGCACGGAAUCCCUGACAAGGAUCACAUUUGUUGGGAGCGUCUAGUCAUUACCACUAAAAUGUAUCUACAUCUCUUGGCUGGCUUCUUGGAAUCCCCAGGCACUGCGCCCGGAUGCUUUCUCCCAUCGUUCUUCUCUGUUCCUGUUUCCUGAUCUAUUAAAAAUAUAAUUGCUCUAGCACCAACUUUUCUGCCUCCACUUUUAUUUAAAAUAUCCAAUGAUCCUGGAAGAUUAUUCACACCAUGUUUUGGUGUAGCUUCCGACAGAAGCCCUCCCUCAUAUGGGAGUCAAAGUGAAAACAGUAAAUAGUUGAAUAUUUAAAAGAAGCACAGAGCCAUGGAUUUAGGGUUGGAAGGACCCUCGGAGACUUUCUAGUCCAACUGUCUCAUUUUACAGAUGAGGAAAGUGAGGUAUAGAAAGGCGAAAAAACUUGCAUCCUUUGAGAUUGAAGAAUUUAGAGUGGGGAGGAGUUGGGGAGAUAUCUUUAAAGCUUCCGGAGAAGGGAGGGUCAAUAUGCUAACACUUAGAAAAAAGCACAUUGUAGGAAUAUCAAUAAUAUGGAAAUAGGUCUUGAUCAAUGAUACAUGUAAAGCACAGUGGAAUUGUGGGUCGGCUGUGGGGGUGGGGGGGUGGGAAGAGGGGAGGGAAGGAACAUGAUUCUUGUAACCAUGGAAAAAUAUUCUAAAUUAACUAAUUAAAUACCCCCCCCCCAAGGAAAAAAAAAACAUUGUAGGGAGAGGGAGGGCAGGAAGAGAGUCAUGUUGUUGAACGAGAGACUCCUGGAAGGCAGAUGUUGGAAGGGACUUUGG